Molecule: ribosomal RNA, 485 nt
Filed under: uncultured bacterium
Lineage: Bacteria
Description: bacterial SSU rRNA
Rfam family: Bacterial small subunit ribosomal RNA
Source: RNAcentral
AUUGAACGCUGGCGGCAUGCCUUACACAUGCAAGUCGAACGGCAGCACGGGAGCAAUCCUGGUGGCGAGUGGCGAACGGGUGAGUAAUAUAUCGGAACGUGCCCAGUAGUGGGGGAUAGCCCGGCGAAAGCCGGAUUAAUACCGCAUGAGACCUGAGGGUGAAAGCGGGGAUCGCAAGACCUCGCGCUAUUGGAGCGGCCGAUAUCAGAUUAGCUAGUUGGUGGGGUAAAGGCCUACCAAGGCAACGAUCUGUAGUUGGUCUGAGAGGACGACCAGCCACACUGGGACUGAGACACGGUCCAGACUCCUACGGGAGGCAGCAGUGAGGAAUCUUGCGCAAUGGGCGAAAGCCUGACGCAGCGACGCCGCGUGGAGGAUGACGGUUUUCGGAUUGUAAACUCCUGUUAAGCGGGAAGAAAGCCUUGUUUCUAAUACAAGCAAGGUAUGACGGUACCGCUAGAGAAAGCACCGGCUAACUUCAUGCC